Molecule: long non-coding RNA, 1643 nt
Filed under: Vulpes vulpes (red fox)
Lineage: Eukaryota; Metazoa; Chordata; Mammalia; Carnivora; Canidae
Description: lncRNA (ENSVVUG00000009863.1)
Source: RNAcentral
CAAAAUAAUGCAUGUAAAGCACUUAGCAUGGAGCCUGGGACAUGAUAAGGAAUUCAAAAAAUGGUGAUGGUUGUUCUUCCUCUCCUUCUUCUUUUAUUAUUCCUAGUAUUAUGUGGUUAUUCAGACUUGAUUUCAGCAUUGCCAGUGAUGGAAAAUGAUUGCCUUCUAAAAUAGCCUACUCUUAAUUUUGUAGAAUCAUGAUCAUUAGAGAGUUUUCCUUCCAGUCAACCCCAAAUCACAGCACUUUAUCUCUAGACAUCCUUUUGUUCAAGUUCUGACUUCUCAGCUCAUGACUGCCCUUUGUACAUUUGAAUAUGGCUGUCAUGCUCCCUAUGUUACCCUAUUCUCUUUUAACUUCUUUGGUUUUUCUCUUCUUUGAUCCUUUCUUCCCAAUUUCUUAUUUUUUUUUAAUUUUUAUUUAUUUAUGAUAGGCACACAGUGAGAGAGAGAGGCAGAGACAUAGGCAGAGGGAGAAGCAGGCUCCAUGCACCGGGAGCCCGACGUGGGAUUCGAUCCCGGGUCUCCAGGAUCGCGCCCUGGGCCAAAGGCAGGCGCUAAACCGCUGCACCACCCAGGGAUCCCUUUCUUCCCAAUUUCUUUCCAUCAACUUUUAUAUACCAACUUUCAAAUUAUUCUUGAAAUCUUGCCAUUAACUUGACAUCAACCCCUUCGAUCAACAUUUAUAUACUAAGGGAUUAUGUGAAGAGCCUUAUAGCCAUGUUCCAUGCCUAUGGAGGGAGCCAUUUGGAUAUCAAGGGGGGUCAGAAUUUUCAGCAGGACUUACCAAGAAAUACAGCAGGGGAGCACCUUACCUGAUCAGUGGAGGAGCACCUUACCUGAUCUUGGCGAACAGAGCAAAUGUAGUCACUUCUUUCAUUCCCCCAGACCUCUGACCACCUUGCCAGGCAGAGGUGAGGGUGCAGCUGGUAAACCAAGAGCUUACGCGGACCCACAUCUCUAUUCACACAUCAGGCAGAUGGACGAGAGCUGUUAUGACUGCAGUGUAGACAAAUCAUUGCCCAGAUGCCCUUGAUCCUACAGGUCUCUUCUCCGCCACCACCUCUGUGAACUGGAGCCUGCUUUGCCAGUGGCACUACCUUGGGGAGAGGAGGGAGGAAGACACUAUUAGCAAAUGUUGCUGCUUCUUUUCUUUUGUGUGUUUCUCAUAGUCCUAUUGUACACCUGACAUCUGACACAAUGAAUGCAUUACCAAAUCAUUAGUCCCCAUCCAAUGCGAGGCACCAAAUCUGCAGUCAGUCAGUGCUACAUGUGACACAUGAAACCAAACACUUCAUCUACUUCUACCUGGGCCAAGUGGCCAUUCUGUUCAAAUCUGGUUAAAAGCAUGGACUGUGUCACACACCCAGUGAUCCAUCCAAAACCAAGGACUGCAGCCUAAAUUCCAGAUACCAGAGACUGAAAUCUUCAGCCUUGCCUAGGGGAACAUCUCGAUCUUUGAACCUUUAUUGUGUUGUUUUGUACAGGGCAUUCUCUGUACGAAUUUGUUGUGGUUAUAAAACAAUUAGAAAAACAGCUUACAUUUGUAUUUAUUUUCUAUUCCAUACCUCUGCCCCAUGUUUUUUCUCCUCAAAAUCCAUUCCUUUCCAAAUAAAUCUGUUGGAGAAAGAAAAAAAAAAAAAGGA